Manis javanica (Malayan pangolin) is the source of this 72-nucleotide non-coding RNA. The record is from the annotation of a RefSeq genome assembly. NCBI's taxonomy places the organism in Eukaryota, Metazoa, Chordata, Mammalia, Pholidota, Manidae.
GGGGAUGUGGCUCAGUGGUAGAGCAUAUGCUUUGCAUGCAUGAAGCCCCAGGUUCAAUUCCUGGCAUCUCCA